CCUACGGGGGGCAGCAGUGAGGAAUAUUGGUCAAUGGUCGGGAGACUGAACCAGCCAAGCCGCGUGAGGGAGGAAGGUACAGAGUAUCGUAAACCUCUUUUGUCAGGGAACAAAGGCGGGGACGUGUCCCCGGAUGAGUGUACCUGAAGAAAAAGCAUCGGCUAACUCCGUGCCAGCAGCCGCGGUAAUACGGAGGAUGCGAGCGUUAUCCGGAUUUAUUGGGUGUAAAGGGAGCGCAGGCGGGAAGCCAAGUCAGCUUUGAAAACUACGGGCUUAACUUGUAGACUGCAGUUGAAACUGGUUUU
Molecule: ribosomal RNA, 305 nt
Filed under: uncultured bacterium
Lineage: Bacteria
Description: bacterial SSU rRNA
Rfam family: Bacterial small subunit ribosomal RNA
Source: RNAcentral